This 63-nucleotide transfer RNA is filed under the name Rattus norvegicus (Norway rat). It matches the Rfam family "tRNA". From Rfam's summary of the family: Transfer RNA (tRNA) molecules are approximately 80 nucleotides in length. Their secondary structure includes four short double-helical elements and three loops (D, anti-codon, and T loops). The record is from Rfam by way of RNAcentral. Lineage: Eukaryota; Metazoa; Chordata; Mammalia; Rodentia; Muridae.
GGGGAUUUAGCUCAGUGGUAGAGCACUUGCCUAGCAAGCUCUAGGCCCUAGGUUCAGUCCCCA